GAAACGUGGGUCUAAUACCGGAUAGGACCAUGCUUUAGUGUGUGUGGUGGAAAGUUUUUUCGGUGUAGGAUGAGCCCGCGGCCUAUCAGCUUGUUGGUGGGGUAAUGGCCUACCAAGGCGGCGACGGGUAGCCGGACUGAGAGGUUGGUCGGCCACAUUGGGACUGAGAUACGGCCCAG
This 179-nucleotide ribosomal RNA is filed under the name uncultured Actinomycetales bacterium. Its description in RNAcentral is "partial 16S ribosomal RNA". It matches the Rfam family "Bacterial small subunit ribosomal RNA", at positions 153 to 334 of the family's 1533-position model. The record is from RNAcentral. Lineage: Bacteria; Bacillati; Actinomycetota; Actinomycetes; Actinomycetales.